AAAGCGCGCGUAGGCGGUUACGUAAGUUGGAUGUGAAAUCCCCGGGCUCAACCUGGGAAUUGCAUUCAAAACUGCGUGGCUAGAGUGUGGGAGAGGAAGGUAGAAUUCCAGGUGUAGCGGUGAAAUGCGUAGAUAUCUGGAGGAAUACCGAUGGCGAAGGCAGCCUUCUGGCCUAACACUGACGCUGAGGUGCGAAAGCAUGGGGAGCAAACAGGAUUAGAUACCCCGGU
This 230-nucleotide ribosomal RNA is filed under the name uncultured bacterium. RNAcentral's name for it is "partial 16S ribosomal RNA". It matches the Rfam family "Bacterial small subunit ribosomal RNA", at positions 562 to 791 of the family's 1533-position model. The record is from RNAcentral.